RNAcentral lists this ribosomal RNA (873 nucleotides) under Agaricus sodalis. Its description in RNAcentral is "eukaryotic LSU rRNA". It matches the Rfam family "Eukaryotic large subunit ribosomal RNA", at positions 73 to 933 of the family's 3401-position model. The record is from RNAcentral. Lineage: Eukaryota; Fungi; Basidiomycota; Agaricomycetes; Agaricales; Agaricaceae.
GAUUCCCCUAGUAACUGCGAGUGAAGCGGGAAAAGCUCAAAUUUAAAAUCUGGCAGUCUCUGGCUGUCCGAGUUGUAAUCUAGAGAAGUAAUGCCCGUGCUGGACCGUGUAUAAGUCUCCUGGGAUGGGGCGUCAUAGAGGGUGAGAAUCCCGUCUUUGACACGGACUACCAGUGCAUUGUGGUAUGCUCUCAAAGAGUCGAGUUGUUUGGGAAUGCAGCUCAAAAUGGGUGGUAAAUUCCAUCUAAAGCUAAAUAUUGGCGAGAGACCGAUAGCGAACAAGUACCGUGAGGGAAAGAUGAAAAGAACUUUGGAAAGAGAGUUAAACAGUACGUGAAAUUGCUGAAAGGGAAACGCUUGAAGUCAGUCGCGUUGGCCGGGAAUCAGCCUUGCUUUUGCAUGGUGUACUUUCUGGUUGAUGGGUCAGCAUCAAUUUUGACCGCUGGAAAAAGACCUGGGGAAUGUGGCAGCUUCGGCUGUGUUAUAGCCCCUAGUCGCAUACAGUGGUUGGGAUUGAGGAACUCAGCACGCCGCAAGGCCGGGUUUCGACCACGUUCGUGCUUAGGAUGCUGGCAUAAUGGCUUUAAGCGACCCGUCUUGAAACACGGACCAAGGAGUCUAACAUGCCUGCGAGUAUUUGGGUGGAAAACUCAAGUGCGUAAUGAAAGUGAAAGUUGAGAUCCCUGUCGUGGGGAGCAUCGACGCCCGGACCAGAACUUUUGGGACGGAUCCGCGGUGGAGCAUGUAUGUUGGGACCCGAAAGAUGGUGAACUAUGCCUGAAUAGGGUGAAGCCAGAGGAAACUCUGGUGGAGGCUCGUAGCGAUUCUGACGUGCAAAUCGAUCGUCAAAUUUGGGUAUAGGGGCGAAAGACCU